GACGAACGCUGGUGGCGUGCCUAAUACAUGCAAGUCGAACGAACUCUGGUAUUGAUUGGUGCUUGCAUCAUGAUUUACAUUUGAGUGAGUGGCGAACUGGUGAGUAACACGUGGGAAACCUGCCCAGAAGAGGGGGAUAACACCUGGAAACAGAUGCUAAUACCGCAUAACAACUUGGACCGCAUGGUCCGAGUUUGAAAGAUGGCUUCGGCUAUCACUUUUGGAUGGUCCCGCGGCGUAUUAGCUAGAUGGUGAGGUAACGGCUCACCAUGGCAAUGAUACGUAGCCGACCUGAGAGGGUAAUCGGCCACAUUGGGACUGAGACACGGCCCAAACUCCUACGGGAGGCAGCAGUAGGGAAUCUUCCACAAUGGACGAAAGUCUGAUGGAGCAACGCCGCGUGAGUGAAGAAGGGUUUCGGCUCGUAAAACUCUGUUGUUAAAGAAGAACAUAUCUGAGAGUAACUGUUCAGGUAUUGACGGUAUUUAACCAGAAAGCCACGGCUAACUACGUGCCAGCAGCCGCGGUAAUACGUAGGUGGCAAGCGUUGUCCGGAUUUAUUGGGCGUAAAGCGAGCGCAGGCGGUUUUUUAAGUCUGAUGUGAAAGCCCUCGGCUUAACCGAGGAAGCGCAUCGGAAACUGGGAAACUUGAGUGCAGAAGAGGACAGUGGAACUCCAUGUGUAGCGGUGAAAUGCGUAGAUAUAUGGAAGAACACCAGUGGCGAAGGCGGCUGUCUGGUCUGUAACUGACGCUGAGGCUCGAAAGCAUGGGUAGCGAACAGGAUUAGAUACCCUGGUAGUCCAUGCCGUAAACGAUGAAUGCUAGGUGUUGGAGGGUUUCCGCCCUUCAGUGCCGCAGCUAACGCAUUAAGCAUUCCGCCUGGGGAGUACGACCGCAAGGUUGAAACUCAAAGGAAUUGACGGGGGCCCGCACAAGCGGUGGAGCAUGUGGUUUAAUUCGAAGCUACGCGAAGAACCUUACCAGGUCUUGACAUACUAUGCAAAUCUAAGAGAUUAGACGUUCCCUUCGGGGACAUGGAUACAGGUGGUGCAUGGUUGUCGUCAGCUCGUGUCGUGAGAUGUUGGGUUAAGUCCCGCAACGAGCGCAACCCUUAUUAUCAGUUGCCAGCAUUAAGUUGGGCACUCUGGUGAGACUGCCGGUGACAAACCGGAGGAAGGUGGGGAUGACGUCAAAUCAUCAUGCCCCUUAUGACCUGGGCUACACACGUGCUACAAUGGAUGGUACAACGAGUUGCGAACUCGCGAGAGUAAGCUAAUCUCUUAAAGCCAUUCUCAGUUCGGAUUGUAGGCUGCAACUCGCCUACAUGAAGUCGGAAUCGCUAGUAAUCGCGGAUCAGCAUGCCGCGGUGAAUACGUUCCCGGGCCUUGUACACACCGCCCGUCACACCAUGAGAGUUUGUAACACCCAAAGUCGGUGGGGUAACCUUUUAGGAACCAGCCGCCUAAGGUGGGACAGAUGAUUAGGGUG
This 1489-nucleotide ribosomal RNA is filed under the name uncultured Lactobacillus sp. RNAcentral describes it as "bacterial SSU rRNA". It matches the Rfam family "Bacterial small subunit ribosomal RNA". The record is from RNAcentral. Lineage: Bacteria; Bacillati; Bacillota; Bacilli; Lactobacillales; Lactobacillaceae.